Molecule: ribosomal RNA, 433 nt
Filed under: uncultured bacterium
Lineage: Bacteria
Description: partial 16S ribosomal RNA
Rfam family: Bacterial small subunit ribosomal RNA
Source: RNAcentral
AACGAACGCUGGCGGCAGGCCUAACACAUGCAAGUCGAGCGAGGACUUCGGUUCUAGCGGCGGACGGGGGAGUAACGCGGGGGAAUGUGCCCUUCUCUACGGAAUAGCCCUGGGAAACUGGGAGUAAUACCGUAUAGGCCCUAUUGGGGAAAGAUUUAUCGGAGAAGGAUCAGCGCGUGUUGGAUUAGGUAGUUGGUGGGGUAAUGGCCUACCAAGCCGACGAUCCAUAGCUGGUUGGGGAGGAUGAUCCGCCACACUGGAACUGCGACACGGCCCACUCCGCGACGGAGGGCUGGGGUGGAUAAUAUAAUAAACGGGGGCCAGAUGCGGUAACGCCUCGCCGGGGGUGACGGCAGGCCCUUAGUGUUCAAAUUUCUUCUCAGAUGGAAAGUUAAUGACGGUAAAGGAUAAAGAAGCCCCGGCUAACUCCGUG